Molecule: ribosomal RNA, 253 nt
Filed under: uncultured bacterium
Lineage: Bacteria
Description: partial 16S ribosomal RNA
Rfam family: Bacterial small subunit ribosomal RNA
Source: RNAcentral
UACGGAGGGUGCAAGCGUUGUCCGGAAUCACUGGGCGUAAAGGGCGCGUAGGCGGCUCGGUAGGUAGGGGGUGAAAUCCUGCGGCUUAACCGCAGGGCUGCCUUCUAAACUGUCGAGCUCGAGCACGGUAGAGGCAGAUGGAAUUCCCGGUGUAGCGGUGGAAUGCGUAGAGAUCGGGAAGAACAUCAGUGGCGAAGGCGGUCUGCUGGGCCGUUGCUGACGCUGAGGCGCGACAGCGUGGGGAGCAAACAGG